Molecule: ribosomal RNA, 253 nt
Filed under: uncultured bacterium
Lineage: Bacteria
Description: partial 16S ribosomal RNA
Rfam family: Bacterial small subunit ribosomal RNA
Source: RNAcentral
UACGGAGGAUGCAAGCGUUAUCCGGAUUCAUUGGGCGUAAAGCGUCCGCAGGUGGUUAUGCAAGUCUGCUGUCAAAGCGCGAGGCUUAACUUCGUAAAGGCAGUGGAAACUGUGUGACUAGAGGAUGGUAGGGGUCACGGGAAUUCCCAGUGUAGCGGUGAAAUGCGUAGAUAUUGGGAAGAACACCAGCGGCGAAAGCGUGCGACUGGGCCAUUACUGACACUCAUGGACGAAAGCUAGGGGAGCGAAAGGG